This 232-nucleotide small RNA is filed under the name Pan troglodytes (chimpanzee). RNAcentral describes it as "7SK RNA (ENSPTRG00000037625.2)". It matches the Rfam family "7SK RNA", at positions 1 to 250 of the family's 331-position model. From Rfam's summary of the family: 7SK was discovered as an abundant small nuclear RNA in the mid-70s but a possible function has only recently been suggested. Two independent studies have found that 7SK RNA binds the CDK9/cyclin T complex (known as elongation factor P-TEFb). The record is from RNAcentral. Lineage: Eukaryota; Metazoa; Chordata; Mammalia; Primates; Hominidae.
GACAGCAAGCUGGCUGUGACAUGUCAACCCCACUGAUUGCCAGAAUUGAUUUGCUGGAUCUGCCCUGUUAAGAUGGUGUCCCACUUCUUCCUGGCUCUGCCACAUGUGUUUUUCCAAAAUCUGGACACUUUACUGGAGAGGAUGAUUUCUCUAGAUGGAGAAAGACCAUGGUCUACAGAGAAUCAAGUUCUUCUGCUGGAAUACUCAAGGCAUGUUGAGUAGGUUCCCCUGC